This is a long non-coding RNA of Oreochromis aureus, 2551 nucleotides long. The record is from Ensembl. Lineage: Eukaryota; Metazoa; Chordata; Actinopteri; Cichliformes; Cichlidae.
GGAAUUUGCUGCACAGCUAGCAAACCGUCAUGGUACUACGCUGGAAUUCACUGAGCUCCUGAGACCCACCCAGAAGCAGUCUGCAUGCCGAGGCGCUUGAGUUUAUACACUUGUGGCCGUGGAAGUGAUUGGAACACCUGGAUUCAAUGAUUUAGGCUACGUCCACACGUACCCGGCAACACCCUCCUCGCCCAGAAAGCAAACUGAGGUUCCAGAUUUAAAUACUGAUAUGCGCUCUUUGCUCUCUACAUACUACAAGGAAAGUUAUUGAUCACCCUGCCAAGGAUACACUGGGAAAAUGUGACACACACUCCUCAGCUGUCCAUUUCUGGUUACCAUGGCCGGUCAAGGAGUUGAUAAUUGGUGGUCUUUCAUGAUUUGGAAGGUCACCAGAAUUACUCGACUGUGCUUACUUUUUUCAUGCUACUCCUGAAUGGAUCCAAACUGUUUGUCCAACAACAAUGGUUAGCAAUUUUUGGAGUGGAGGCAAUAUAAUCAGAUUUCAUUUGGAGUUGUAAUUUUGAUUCCAUUUACCUUGACCCCUUAAGUUUAGUUACUGUGCUAAACAUGAAAACAUCCAUUUAUUAGGAACCCAGUUGGAGAAAAUCACGUGUCGCUAUUUUAUGUACCACGUGCAGCAACAUGUGCAUUUAUAUUUUCGCCUGGUUUCAUUGUUACACAGCAACACAUGCUUUAAAUUUUAGUUACGCCAACGUGGAUUGACCAUAACAUUAUGCUAUUAAAGAACAAAACAGAAGCAGUCUCCCAUAUUUCUACUGAGUCAUAAGACAAGACUCAAGGAAGAAAAUCUUUUUACUGUAAAUCAAGAGCACUCCUUGCAUUGUCUACAAAUAGUUUCAUUGAUGUUAUGCUUGUUUUGGCCACACCUCUUGGAAGCAUAUAAAACUUUACACUUCCAGUCAACAUCCUGUGGAGCCAGAAAAAGCAUAUUUAUGGAGAAUUCGGGUAGGAAUCAUUGACAGGUUUCUCAGAAGUUCGUCACUGGGCAUGCCUUACUGGUAAAGAGGACGUGUGAGAAUGCAAUAAGUAAUUAGCACUAAUCUAAUCUAAUCUGGUACCCGGAGAUAUCAAGGAUGCACAGAAUUCUUCGAGGCCUCACGUCACAAUUAGGAAUUGCUAAAAUCUUAUCUUAAGUAUUAUGUUUUAGUAUUUUGUUUUCGCCUUGUUUUGUGAAAAAAGAAACUUGAAAAUUCAUGGAUGACAGAUUACAUUUCAUUCUUAAAAAAUAUAAUUUUGAUUUAAGAGCUUGAGCAUACUGGUGGACAACAAUUAGAGAUAAGACAUUAUUUUGAUCAAUUUAAUUUAUGGCAAUAAUUAUGACAUUAACUUUACACUGGAUGGUGGUCUAAUACAUUUGUUGAGCUCUGUAUGUUAUUAUAAAAGACUUUUAAACAAUUUGUAAAUGUAAAACUAAAAAAUACAUUGUGUGCUUUAUUUUUAUUAUUACAAAUUUCCUUAUAAAUUAUUCAUCCGAAAGUGAACUUUUCCGAUAACUUAGGUUUGUAGUAGUUUGACUUGAUGCCAGUGCGCACGUUUGAGGAUGUGAAGCACACUGCAUUCCGCUCUUUAAAUAGAUUAUGUGUAACACGGAAGCACUAAAUUACGUUAGGCCUGAGGGUUUCCUGGGCUAGUAAACCUGUCAACUGAUUUUUACGCUAUUUUUGAUCAACCUGUCCAGGGUGUACUCUGCCUCUUGCCCUGUGACAGCUGGGCUAAGCUCUGACCCUGGAUAAGCGGAAGAAAAUGGAUAAAUGGAAAGACAGCACAUGACUAUUAUAUGAUUAUAACUUUGACUACCCAUACAGAGGCCCCAGUUAAGCAAUACUGUGCUGUGUAGUUACAGUCAAAUGCCUGUCUGAACAUGUCACAGGCAUUGUUGGUUUGUAGUGUUUUUUUCAAGCUUUUUGAAAUGUCAAAAAUGCAUUUAGGGGAAAUAAAAAGAAAAAACAAAACAAACCCAGGAAACAGUAGGAUCAACUUUGAUCUACUCACUAUUGUUCCCACUGUUAAUGGUUUAAAGCACUAUUCAAAAAGAAAAUGGGAUCAUAAUAGAUUUUGUAGGACUUUGUGAUGUUAAUUAGCAAUUUGCACGUAAUAAAUUAACGUCUACUGCAGUGGGAGUGUCCCUUCUUUUUCAAUGUGGCUGUCACACCUUAAAAUUCCAUAUGUUGUUUUCAAUCAAAGAGUAGUAAUUACAUAAAUACAAAUAAAAAUAGAUAGUAAGCUGCUUAUGUAACAUUCAGGUAUGACAAAUAAAAACAAUGGUCACUAAAGGACGACUGACGUAUCUUCUUUUCACUAAAGUGAAUAUAUGCCUGUUAUUCUACUGCAACUAUGCAAAAUGUUGAUUAAAAAAAGAACAAGUAAAUCUAACAUUUGAAUAGGAAAGUUCAGGCAUAGCGUCUUGCUUUAAAAACAACUGAAAAAAGAGGAUUAAGAGAAAUGGUUCACAAAAAGGAAGAAUAAAAUAGUGUUCACUACAUGUAAAUGUGUAGACAUUUAGCUAGUAAGGAAAAAUGUUUAUAUUUAA